This 432-nucleotide ribosomal RNA is filed under the name uncultured bacterium. RNAcentral's name for it is "partial 16S ribosomal RNA". It matches the Rfam family "Bacterial small subunit ribosomal RNA", at positions 29 to 506 of the family's 1533-position model. The record is from RNAcentral.
AACGAACGCUGGCGGCAUGCCUAACACAUGCAAGUCGAACGAGACCUUCGGGUCUAGUGGCGCACGGGUGCGUAACGCGUGGGAACCUGCCCUUAGGUUCGGAAUAACUCCCCGAAAGGGGUGCUAAUACCGGAUAAUGUCUUCGGACCAAAGAUUUAUCGCCUUUGGAUGGGCCCGCGUUGGAUUAGCUAGUUGGUAGGGUAAAAGCCUACCAAGGCGACGAUCCAUAGCUGGUCUGAGAGGAUGAUCAGCCACACUGGGACUGAGACACGGCCCAGACUCCUACGGGAGGCAGCAGUGGGGAAUAUUGGACAAUGGGCGAAAGCCUGAUCCAGCAAUGCCGCGGGAGUGAUGAAGGCCUUAGGGUGGUAAAGCUCUUUUACCCGGGAUGAUAAUGACAGUACCGGGAGAAUAAGCUCCGGCUAACUCCGU